Molecule: ribosomal RNA, 329 nt
Filed under: uncultured Bacteroidota bacterium
Lineage: Bacteria; Pseudomonadati; Bacteroidota
Description: bacterial SSU rRNA
Rfam family: Bacterial small subunit ribosomal RNA
Source: RNAcentral
GAUGAACGCUAGCGGGAGGCUUAACACAUGCAAGUCGAGGGGCAGCAUAAUGUAGCAAUACGUUGAUGGCGACCGGCGCACGGGUGAGUAACGCGUAUGCAACCUACCCUGUACAGGGGGGAUAACCCGGAGAAAUUCGGACUAAUACUCCAUAAAGAUAUUAUGAGGCAUCUUAUAAUAUUUAAAGCUCAGGUGGUACGGGAUGGGCAUGCGUAACAUUAGCUAGUUGGUAAGGUAACGGCUUACCAAGGCUUCGAUGUUUAGGGGUCCUGAGAGGGUGAUCCCCCACACUGGUACUGAGACACGGACCAGACUCCUACGGGAGGCUG